Molecule: ribosomal RNA, 484 nt
Filed under: uncultured bacterium
Lineage: Bacteria
Description: partial 16S ribosomal RNA
Rfam family: Bacterial small subunit ribosomal RNA
Source: RNAcentral
AUUGAACGCUGGCGGCAGGCCUAACACAUGCAAGUCGAGCGGAUGAAGGGAGCUUGCUCCUGGAUUCAGCGGCGGACGGGUGAGUAAUGCCUAGGAAUCUGCCUGGUAGUGGGGGAUAACGUCCGGAAACGGGCGCUAAUACCGCAUACGUCCUGAGGGAGAAAGUGGGGGAUCUUCGGACCUCACGCUAUCAGAUGAGCCUAGGUCGGAUUAGCUAGUUGGUGGGGUAAAGGCCUACCAAGGCGACGAUCCGUAACUGGUCUGAGAGGAUGAUCAGUCACACUGGAACUGAGACACGGUCCAGACUCCUACGGGAGGCAGCAGUGGGGAAUACUGGACAAUGGGCGAAAGCCUGAUCCAGCCAUGCCGCGUGUGUGAAGAAGGUCUUCGGAUUGUAAAGCACUUUAAGUUGGGAGGAAGGGCAGUAAGUUAAUACCUUGCUGUUUUGACGGUACCAACAGAAUAAGCACCGGCUAACUUCGUG